CAAGACCUUGCGCUAAAGGAGCGGCCGAUGUCUGAUUAGUUAGUUGGUGGGGUAAAGGCCUACCAAGGCAACGAUCAGUAGCUGGUCUGAGAGGACGAUCAGCCACACUGGGACUGAGACACGGCCCAGACUCCUACGGGAGGCAGCAGUGGGGAAUUUUGGACAAUGGGCGAAAGCCUGAUCCAGCCAUGCCGCGUGAAUGAAGAAGGCCUUCGGGUUGUAAAGUUCUUUUAGUUGGAAAGAAAAAAUUAUGAUGAAUAAUCAUAAUUCAUGACGGUACCGACAGAAAAAGCACCGGCUAACUACGUGCCAGCAGCCGCGGUAAUACGUAGGGUGCAAGCGUUAAUCGGAAUUACUGGGCGUAAAGGGUGUGCAGGCGGCCUUGUAAGUCAGAUGUGAAAGCCCCGGGCUUAACCUGGGAAUU
RNAcentral lists this ribosomal RNA (424 nucleotides) under uncultured bacterium. Its description in RNAcentral is "bacterial SSU rRNA". It matches the Rfam family "Bacterial small subunit ribosomal RNA", at positions 207 to 622 of the family's 1533-position model. The record is from RNAcentral.